This is a non-coding RNA of Danio rerio (zebrafish), 1487 nucleotides long. NCBI's taxonomy places the organism in Eukaryota, Metazoa, Chordata, Actinopteri, Cypriniformes, Danionidae. The record is from RefSeq and is a predicted model, not a curated record.
CUUUCUUUUGCUCAACACAAAAGGAGAUAUUAGGCAGUUUGUUAAGCCCUGACAGCCUCCGCCACCAUUCACUUUAUUACAUUUUUUGUGUGUAAGUGAAUGAGACUAAAGAAAUUCAUUCUGAUUUAAAACAAGAGGGAUUCCUUUUGGCAGUGUUAGGCCUUUUCGACAGUAUUUUCAAUCCCCACAGCGUCUGUCUGGCCGUUUGCAUGUGCUACUGAAGUGCAAUUGCAGAAAGAAGAUCAUUUGUGCAAAAAUCAACCUAAGAAAUGGUCAAAAUCACAUGCGGUGCGCCGGAGCUGCUCAGCCGUUGUCAUGGAUAACAUGGUGGGCACCCUGUCUCGGUCAGUGGGAUGUCCUGCAGAUUGAGCCAGGCGCCCUGUGGAGCCACGGAGCGGCCUUUAAAAUUGACCCCCCGCAGAGGACCGGGGCCCCUCUUGUCUCGUCUGAGCGCACGCCUGGAGACCGCUUUUAAAUGUGCUUCUGGUGUCCCAGAGAGAGAGGCCGCUGGCACGAAGGGGCGAAAGCUCACCGCAGUGGUCCCUUUUUCUUGGAUAAAUUCAAAGGAGGAAAAUAGCCCACAUUACAAGCUCCUUAAGGGUCAAGGACAGCCGAGACAUGAAUGGUUUGAAAGAGUGGCAUUGUGAAAUCACAUAGCACACGAUUACACCCUCUGUCAUCUUUUUACGGAUUUGCAUUUUUCUUGCACCACAAUGAACAGUUCAGAAUAAGACUUACAAGACAUGUGGAUGAAAUUAAUUAAGACGCUGGAGAAAAAGAGGUGUGAACGACAAAAGCGGUGGUCCUGUUUGGAAUAAACGCCGUUGCUAUUUUAGGAUGAUUUUAAUGAGUGGCAAAACAUUUUUAUUAGUAUUAUAGUCUUUUCUUUUUUUUUUUUGGAUCCAAUUUGAAAAAUAUUGGACAUUCAAAAAAGGAACAAAAUCCUACGUCGGACGCAAAAUAAGUAAUGAAGGCAUUUGCAACACUUCAUUUCACUGCUAACUGAACUCAAAUGGUCUCACUUUUGGCUAGUAUUUCCCUCCACGCAGCAGGGAUGGCAGUAGAUUGAUGCCCUUACAUUAUUCAUGCAACAAUUAUUCAAAAUUUAGCAAUAACUCAACAGCGUUUUGUCCUUUCUCUCAUCCGUCUCCUCUCUCAGCGUACCUAGGUAUGCUGCUAUUCUUAUGCGACCAUCAUCCAUUGGACAGUGCGGCCCCAGAAAGCACCCUUAAACACUCCCCCAUUGUACUGUCACAAGCCUGGAGAGUUCAUGUUAUAUUUAUGUUGCCUACAGCGUAUUCUCUCUGUUCUGUUCUGUUCAGCUGAACUCACGCCAACUCCUCCAGGUCCCCCCUCCACAGACAAUGUUACAUCUCAUUGGCUUUGCCCUAGAUAGGCUAUUUUUGUAUGAAAUAAUUAGACAUAACUGAUUUAAAUACUGCAAAGCCAACACUCUUUUGUCUCGUUAACAAAGUACAGGAAAGGCA